RNAcentral lists this ribosomal RNA (460 nucleotides) under uncultured bacterium. Its description in RNAcentral is "partial 16S ribosomal RNA". It matches the Rfam family "Bacterial small subunit ribosomal RNA", at positions 338 to 795 of the family's 1533-position model. The record is from RNAcentral.
CCUACGGGAGGCAGCAGUGAGGAAUAUUGGUCAAUGGACGAGAGUCUGAACCAGCCAAGUCGCGUGAAGGAUGACUGCCCUAUGGGUUGUAAACUUCUUUUAUAAAGGAAUAAAACGAGGCACGUGUGCCUUUUUGCAUGUACUUUAUGAAUAAGGAUCGGCUAACUCCGUGCCAGCAGCCGCGGUAAUACGGAGGAUCCGAGCGUUAUCCGGAUUUAUUGGGUUUAAAGGGAGCGUAGAUGGGUUGUUAAGUCAGUUGUGAAAGUUUGCGGCUCAACCGUAAAAUUGCAAUUGAUACUGGCAGUCGUGAGUACAGUUGAGGUAGGCGGAAUUCGUGGUGUAGCGGUGAAAUGCUUAGAUAUCACGAAGAACCCCGAUUGCGAAGGCAGCUUACUAAACUGUGACUGACAUUGAUGCUCGAAAGUGUGGGUAUCAAACAGGAUUAGAUACCCGAGUAGUC